UCCAAAGGUACAGAGUUGAAGUGGGUGUC
Molecule: non-coding RNA, 29 nt
Filed under: Mus musculus (house mouse)
Lineage: Eukaryota; Metazoa; Chordata; Mammalia; Rodentia; Muridae
Source: RNAcentral